CAAUUAUGCAUUACCUCAAUGCAUGUAUAUACAGGUGGUAAUACCAGUGUGGUUGUGUAAGUUGCAAAUAACAAUGUUUCGCGUCGUGUUACUUCUAUUUGGCAUAUUUUCUCUGGGUAACACGAACGAGGUUGAAAACACACAGAAGACUAUACAAAUUCUUAAACUUAUAAUGAGACUCGGAAACUUUUUACCGUCUGAAGAUGACUACGAAGACGAAUAUGAUGAUGAUGAUGAGGAGGAGGAGGAAGACCAUGACGAGAAAGAUGAAACUACGACGCAAGCUACAACGACCACGACAGAAAAUAACAAUUGUAAGGCCAGUAGGAAAGGACGGACUUGUCAACUUAUAACGUGCGCCAACAUCGUAGAGGGCCAAGCAUGUGAUAAUGGCAACCCCUGCUGUCAACUGUAAGUCUGACAAUGCUCGACAAUGUGCAUUAAGGCGGCAAGUAUACGUACAGGCGAUCACCUUGCGUCAACUAUAACGACCUGGUGUGUGAUCAAGGAGCUCACGCGUGUGAACUACUUCGUGUUAAGUAAAAGUCGUUAUCGGGUG
Long non-coding RNA from Haliotis rufescens (red abalone), 559 nucleotides. RefSeq lists it as uncharacterized. The record is from RefSeq and is a predicted model, not a curated record. Lineage: Eukaryota; Metazoa; Mollusca; Gastropoda; Lepetellida; Haliotidae. The transcript has 3 exons.